This 415-nucleotide unclassified non-coding RNA is filed under the name Hevea brasiliensis (rubber tree). The record is from RNAcentral. Lineage: Eukaryota; Viridiplantae; Streptophyta; Magnoliopsida; Malpighiales; Euphorbiaceae.
AUUCUAUAAUGAAUAUAAUUCCUAUUUAAGUGUUCUUCCACCACUGCAUCAACUAUAUUGUAAGUUAAAGUCCUUUCAUUUGACACCUGAGAAUUUAGUAACCAUAGCAAAUGCAGGAAUUUUACAUUCCCAAGCAGCAUAUUUCAAUUUUCAACACAAUAUAUUCUCAAAAAUUAUCUCAUUCCUAAGAAUAUUUCAAUCCUCUCCACCAAAUGCACUUAAAAUAGUAUACUAAAAUAGGAAUGUGUCUUAACUUUUCAAAAUUUGUCAAUUUAGUGUCCUUAUUUUUGUAUCAAUCAAAUUUUCAAAAAAGCCCAAACACUGAAUUGUCAAAUUUUGAAAAGUUUAGACACCAUUUAAUAUUUUAAGAUAUAACAAAUAAAAUGCCUCACCUUUGUAUAAGUUUUUGGAAAUA